AACUGCCAGAGUGAGUGUGCACGUUAAUACAGGUGUGACCAGUCAGGAACUAGGAAACGGGUUAUUCAUUGGCUGCUGAGCGGGUUGAAAUCUGACACCACCAGUUUUUUUACAAAAAAAAACCUAACAAUAGUAAACUUAAUGUGCACAUAAGGAAACCGCUCACAGCUGUCAGUAAAUACGUUAAUAGCUUUUUUGCAAAUGUGUUUUUUGCUGUUAUACAACCAUCAACUGCUGUGAGAGUGGUCCAUAUUUGUUUGAAAUCCAUGUUAUUAGUCACUUUAUAUGCAUAUAUCCUGCUGUUGCGAUGUGUGAGCUUUUUGAAAUGUUUUGUACUACCGCUACAUAAAAAAGUAACAACAUUUUAUGAGCCUGUCCGUGACAAGUUGCAAAGUUUCUGAUUAUUUCCCCCCCACACAAUGAGCCAACAGCUAAUGUUACCCAUCAAGUACUGCAGCAACUGGUGUUUGGACCUCGGUGACUGUGACGGUUCUGGGAGGCAGAUUUGUGCAACACGUGUCACUUUCUGCUGACCAGCCCAAACCUAAUUGCCUGCCUUUGUCUGCUCCUCCUUCCUCAUUGUAGAAAACAUAUUCUCCUGGAACUUCAAAAAAUAACCUGUAACCUGGCUGCCUUUAAAAUCUACAGUUAGGACAGCUAAGAGGUUCAAGUUUAAUCGACAGGUGUUUAUUGACACUGACGAGACAUUUCAAGUCGUAUAAACGGUUAUGCACCUUAAAAUGAUUGUUAAGACAGCCAGUUACUUUCUUUAUUAAUCUUAAUUACAAUGUUAAGUUAAUUAGGAAGCGAAAUGAGUUCUAUCAACUAGAUAGAACUACUUUUUUUUUUUGCGGUGUUCUACCCAGACUGGUUAUGACCAGAGCCUCCUUGCAACCCACUACUAUCUCAUUGCUCCUAACGUCCACAACCAGACUGCUGUCAGCCAGACGGUGACCAUCAGCUCGGUGUGGACAUCAGUAGGUAUUAGAGAAGGGAAGUGCUUUUUGAAUCCAACGUGUGACCCAGGGGGGGUCUCCUUUAGUUGGCUGCAGGGCUGCUGCAGAGUGUUGACCACCAGAGCAUCCCCAGCCUCCCUGCCUCAGAGGUGAACACCCAAACAGCUAUAUGUGUAUUGGUAGGCUUCACCAGCUGCAAACACAUUGCUUGUGUGGAUUUGCUAGAAUCAAACCAAAAACAAGUUUUUAUUACACAUUAUAUCCCUCCCCUAGCUUCAGUGUCGCCAGUAAGGAGUGAAAGGUGGCAUCAUGAAGGUCAUCUCAGUUAUGACCUCAGAUAAAAUCCACAUUACUGGUGACAGUCCCUAUCGACUUGUUUACUUCACAUGCGGCGGUGUAUAAUGUCUCUCAUCUCUAACAGUACUUCCAUCUGGUGAUGGUAUCUGCCAGCCUGUACCUAUGUUGGAUUUAGGUGAUCGGAGACGGCAGGUACAUCACAAUUCUCAGACAGGAGAUUUAAAGUCCUGAUUUGUUUGCACCAACAGAGAUGUGGGACACUAUCUGAGUAACAUGAACACGCAACUUUAUCCAGCAUUUUGUGAGAAAAAUAUGAAUUGUUUGUGUUUGAGUACUUUGCAUUACGUUUUGAGUAUUUGAUGACUGUAUUCAUUCGUGUCAAAGUAACACAUGCUAUUUGUACUUCUCUUUUUUAUUUCAGUUGCAGCUGCGUAAGUGUCAAGUGUGUUAAUGGAAGUGUUGUUAUGGGGAGUGUACUGAACAAACUGGAAAUAAUCAUACACUUUUUAGAGCUGGCAAUUAACAUUGUUUUUUCUUGUAUUUAAACACAUAGGUUAAUGUACAGAAGAGUAACUUUCCACUCACUUGAAGGAAUAAAUCCCUGAAUUCUUUUCUGAGGUGCUCCAGAAACUGCUUUGGCCCCCGCAGCGCGACUGGAAGCAUCAUCUCCAGGCUGAAUCUCGCCCGGUUUUUAAACAGAAACAACCUUCACUCAUGCAGGCGAGCAUCAUUUGCAAAAUGAUAUCCGUUCAUAGUUGCAAGCCUGAAAAUGAAUAUCACAUGACUAUUCAUGCACGCUGGGGAUGUGGGUUCCGGUGUUGUUGUUGGUUGCAUGUUGGUUCCUUAGUUACAGAAACUACAACAGAGUACUACAGUAAGCUUUGAUCAUUAAAGGUGAUUGACCCUUAAAAUUUUCCUCUUUAAACUCAAACAGACAUAUUUGGAAAGUUUAUGUGGCGAUAUGUAGAGAAGUUUAAGAAUUUUGAUUUUUUUAAAUGGGCAAAAAAUACUGCAGGUGUUCUCUAUCUCCCUCUCACACACACACACACACACAAACACACACACACUCACACAUAAAAUGCACUAUUUUACAUCUUUCACUUGUUUCGCUGUCGGUUUUCUCACUUAUCAGCUGUGCUGGUGGUUAACCAUGACUUCAGCGCAGAGAAUGCCGCUGGACAUUCAGUUUUCAGUUUUCGAUGCUGUAAAAGUCCGGCGUAGCGAGAACCUCAGAAGGCCAAACGUACAUCCGCCCCACUGGUGCCUGUGACAUGAAUAACCACAAAAUGUCACCAGCCUUUUCCUGGGUUGUUUGUUUGCUCUGUGUUUUAAAGAACGGUUGGGUGACACAUAUUAACAGUGCCUCACUUUUCUUUGUAGAGCAACCGGGAGCUGGGGAGUGUUUCCACCAUGUUCUGCGAGUCAGCAUUUUCCCCCGAGCGAGAAAGCUGCACCCUUAACAACACUUGGGGCUGUGCAAAGAACGGUUUGCUCAGCUGGUUCUUCUGGGUUGGCUGACAGUUCCUCAAAGGCUAACUGUCGCUGAGCUGCAGCAUGCAUUGAUCUUGCAUUAUCAAAUUUUGUGUCACUUUACCUUUCUGACGUGGUUGUUAUGCAAAUUCACGCCAGUGUUUUCUCACUUCCCUGUGAUUUCACUGAAAGGAGGUUAAACUCCUGCCCCUUUUAAUAGUUAUUUUUGUUUUUUUUUAAUGCAAUGCUUAUCAAUCAUAGGUACCAAUGCACCUUGCAAUUCAUUGAUUACAGUUGUCCGUGUCUUUGUGUGUGCAGUUUUCUCCUCCCUACUGUUGACCAUUAUCCUCCUCUCCAACCAGCCAUUUUCUGUCCAAUAGUCAUUAUGAGUCCCGUGGCUCAACCUGCUCUACCACUUGGGUGGACCCAUAUUGUUUUAAGCGGCCUGCACCCUCUCACCCUGAGAGCAUAGACGUUAGUUUCACAAUCUUCUUGUUGACUUGAAUGAAUUCACUCUGAAGGUCACGCCACACAUAGUAGUUAUUUUUCAAUUCGAUCAAUUCACUUUAUUUGGCUUUGGCCUAAAUCACAAAUUUGCCCCAUAGGGCUUUUAAAAUCGUGCUGCCUUGUGCGGAUUUUCAAAUGCAAUUUUGGCCCCCCCUACAGGAUGAUGGUAUUCCCUUUCAUUAUAGCCCUACUGCACUGGUCUUCUCUUUGGUGCUGCACACUUACAUCUACACCAAUAUGGGCUUUGAAUUGAGUCCCAGCAAAAAGGGCAUAUUUGGAAGUAGUCCCUUAAACAAAUAUGCUAACACCGUGUGUGUGUGUGUGUGUGUGUUAAAUUCACACACUGUGUGUUAAAUUCAACGCGGAUCCAGCAUGACCUCACAGCAAAUAGUCCAAAGAAGGAUCUCAGACCCCAACAUCUUGUGAAAGCUUGAAGAAGUGGACAGAAUGCUCGGUGUGUGAAGGGCUGUCAGGAAGGGAGUUGUCAAAAAUGUUCAUCUGAGCGCCUGUCCCUCUUCUCUGACCCUUUAGGCUCGGGGAAGACUUUUUGAAGUCAAUGGACCAUUGACACAGCGUCAUGGAGAAGUGGACUCCUCCAGCUUCUACAAACAUGGCGUCAGUGACCUGUGUCUCCAUGGAGGUCUCCAGCCUGUACUGUGUCCCUCCCUGGCAGAGUAUCCUGCCUUUAUGCAUGCAGGAGGCCUGCAUUCUGCUAUUUGUCACUCUCUCCAAUAGGGGUUACAACAGGAGUUCUGAACAACAUGAGGUCCACCUCUGCCUCGGCUGGCGGAUUAACACAGCAGCGUCAGAGAGACCAGCCUCUGUGAAGCAGGUUUAGUUCACAGUGACGGCGUUGGGGUCUAUGCAGAAAACCGGGACCGCUUUCACAGUGGAGAAAACCUCGAGGCAGGAGACGAGGCGUCUGCAUGUGAGAAAAGCUGUUUGUGUCAUGCUGCGGCACACAUGACUUCCCGUAAUAACUCCUGUGGAAUAAGGAGUGGAAGCUUACUAGAGGAGUUCAAGGUUGCCACCCGGGACUCAAAGUGGCACACUGCUCUGUUGAUGGUUCCCAAAGCACCGCGUUUAAUGGACAGGCGUUUGAAUUUCAUGGUUCAUGUAACUACACCUUGGUGCAGAUGGGCCUCAAUAAAGUGGAUGCGGAGCCUGUCUUGAUAGCUGCACAGGGCGACCACAGUGAGGGCAGGCACAUCUACUUGCAAGUCAAUCAAAUGUUAAGACAUCAACAGCUUUUUCUGGAAAUAUUAAGGUAAUUAUUUCACAGCUUUCAGAAUGAUUGAUUAUUUUUCUCUUAGAAUGCAAUGUAAAAAAAAUAAAAUCACAGUGUACACAAACUGCUGGAUAGUCUCUAUAAUGUGUUUUUUUAACAUAAAUUAUUCCACUGAUGUAAAUGCCGUUUACGAAAACCUGCCAGAAAGAUGGAUGACUAAGCAUCAAGACCCCACAGUCCGUUGGGCUUAUAUCAGACCUGUGAAAGCACAUUCUGUUCAAGAUGUGUGGUCUUUGUGGGAACUACGAUGAUAAUCCCUCAGUUAACAUGCAGCUAUCCAAUGGCACCACGGCCUCUGAUCGUUAUGUUGUUGAGCCUCAUAUCAUGGAGGUUGUUAGAUAAUGAAACAUUGUGCAGCGACAAAUGUGACUUCAUUACAAUUUCAAUUAAUCAUGUGUGGAACGAUAUCAUCCUGCUUGGGACCGGCCGCGGAGCCGCGUCGUUGCGUAGAGGAUGAGAGAAGGUUUAAGCCGGGAAGUAAACAAACUGCUUUGUCGUUCAAAUCUAUCCAUCGCUCUAUUUCUGUUAGCAAAAUUCAUGUUACCUUUUCAGUAUGCACAUUCCCCCUAAAAAUACUGGGAUUUAUUUUCAUGUUGUUUCUAUUUCCAUGCCUCAGAGAGCAAACUACUGCAUAAGUGUACUGUUACCCGUACCUGCGGGUCUCCUCUUGCCUGCCGCACAGCACAGUUGUAGAGUUUCAGAUGGAAUCAUGGUUUGCCACAAAGAUGGUGAUUAUCUAAACGGAAUCUACGUUUUUUCAUGUUGUUGGAAGUAAAAUAACUGUAUUUUUCUUUUUAGCUGAGCAAAAUCCAGAUCCAGGUGAGGAGAGAUAUGAAAAUCUUGUCUGUGCUGUGCAGAUGGACUUGGGGAGGACAGCACUACCCACACUAAACUUAACCAUGGCUUAUAGGCAACAUGUGUCUGCUUGCAGUCAGCAAAGGGGCCCCGUUUGGUCUGACAUAGUGUGUCCUAGAAAAACAACCAUAAUGACGACACAGCUCCAUCUUACACUCAGGUCGUCAUUGUAUGUUAUGUGGUUAUCGUCCAGGAUAUAUGUAAGUAAAUGCCAGUCAUUGAUGAAGAAA
Long non-coding RNA from Gasterosteus aculeatus aculeatus (three-spined stickleback), 5603 nucleotides. RefSeq lists it as uncharacterized. Lineage: Eukaryota; Metazoa; Chordata; Actinopteri; Perciformes; Gasterosteidae. The record is from RefSeq and is a predicted model, not a curated record.